This 459-nucleotide ribosomal RNA is filed under the name uncultured bacterium. RNAcentral's name for it is "partial 16S ribosomal RNA". It matches the Rfam family "Bacterial small subunit ribosomal RNA", at positions 338 to 795 of the family's 1533-position model. The record is from RNAcentral.
CCUACGGGUGGCAGCAGUGAGGAAUAUUGGUCAAUGGGCGCGAGCCUGAACCAGCCAAGUAGCGUGCGGGAAGACGGUCCUAUGGAUUGUAAACUGCUUUUAUCCGGGAAUAAAAGGCGCCACGCGUGGCGUUUCGAGAGUACCGGAAGAAUAAGCACCGGCUAAUUCCGUGCCAGCAGCCGCGGUAAGACGGAGGAUCCGAGCGUUAUCCGGAUUUAUUGGGUUUAAAGGGGGCGAAGGCGGAAGUUAAAGGCGGCGGUAAAAUUGAGAGGCUCAACCGCUGCGAGCCGGCGAAACUGGGUUGCUUGAGUGAGCGAGAAGUAUGCGGAAGUCGUGGUGUAGCGGUGAAAUGCUUAGAUAUCACGAAGAACUCCGAUUGCGAAGGCAGCAUACCGGAGCUCAACUGACGCUGAUGCACGAAAGUGCGGGUAUCGAACAGGAUUAGAUACCCGAGUAGUC